AAUGGCCUAAGCCAUUUUUGUUUGGCUUGCUGAUAUUUGUAUGCCUUUAAAUUUCUUUUGCACUGCUGAUGUGGGACUUGUUCUCACGAGUGAUACCCCAAUAGAAUCUAUCAAUAAUUAUUAUAUAUUGGGAAUCUUGUUGAAUUAUUCAUGAUUCCAAACAAUGAAACUCACAAGUUGCGGAUUUGUAUAAUAUUUCAUUUACAACCAAAUGCAAUAAUGAUAUAGUCUUGAGAAAUGCCUGGUUGGAUGUGUGAGUGUGUAGUGUGAUUUGUUUCUUGAUCAUCAUUUAUCUGGCUAUCUGUGUCUGGCUAAUUUUUCUGAUUGUGUUUAAUGUGAAUUUCUGCUGCUAGAUUAUGAUGAGAAGGCUGAAGA
This 375-nucleotide unclassified non-coding RNA is filed under the name Hevea brasiliensis (rubber tree). The record is from RNAcentral. Lineage: Eukaryota; Viridiplantae; Streptophyta; Magnoliopsida; Malpighiales; Euphorbiaceae.